CUUAGUCUUCAAGAAAUAACUGGUUCUAUUAAGUAAAAGGGAAAUGAGUGGAAUGAAAAUCAGAGAUUUUUGAGCUAUUUAAGGUCAGGGCUGGAGACCCCAUCUCUCGAUUAACAUUUAAAUUACUAUUUUUUUUUAUUUCUUUAAUUUCCUGGCUGGAGACAAGAAUCAAGCCUGCGCAGUCUGAGAAGUGCCCGCUCUGAGCAGUCAGUCCUGGUGCUGUGACUGCAGGCCAUGUGGGAGAAGGACAGGCAGGGGGCCUGGUCAAGUCCUCAGACCCCUGCCCUCUGAGUUUGCGCCCCCCGGGUCCUGCAGGGGGCAGAGGUGAGGGAGGCCGGACAACACUGGCCAGGUGCUGAAGGGCUGGAACAGUACGAGCCGCAGUUGACAAACUGCUGAUGCAGAAUCCUGAAGGGAUGGCUUCUGUUAGUACAGACACGACGCUACGUGUUGCAUGCAGGAAUGCAAACCAGAUCAACUCACAAACCAGCACGAGAAGAACCUUACAGCCGCAGACAAUUUCUGUUGAGAAGCGGACUGCUGAUGAAAGCCCAGGCUGGGAGUGGACAGGCGGCUCGUGUCUCUCUCGUC
RNAcentral lists this long non-coding RNA (591 nucleotides) under Lepisosteus oculatus (spotted gar). Its description in RNAcentral is "lncRNA (ENSLOCG00000021553.1)". Lineage: Eukaryota; Metazoa; Chordata; Actinopteri; Semionotiformes; Lepisosteidae. The record is from RNAcentral.